GUUUUCACUUUGGCAGCACGUAUACUAAAACUGGAACGAUAUAGAGAAGAUUAGCACAGCCCCUGCACAAGGAUGACGUGCAAACUCGUGAAGUGUUCCAUAUUUUG
Molecule: small nuclear RNA, 107 nt
Organism: Loxodonta africana (African savanna elephant)
Lineage: Eukaryota; Metazoa; Chordata; Mammalia; Proboscidea; Elephantidae
Source: RefSeq, a predicted model, not a curated record